This 216-nucleotide ribosomal RNA is filed under the name Nocardia beijingensis. RNAcentral's name for it is "partial 16S ribosomal RNA". It matches the Rfam family "Bacterial small subunit ribosomal RNA", at positions 1322 to 1533 of the family's 1533-position model. Lineage: Bacteria; Bacillati; Actinomycetota; Actinomycetes; Mycobacteriales; Nocardiaceae. The record is from RNAcentral.
GAAGUUGGAGUCGCUAGUAAUCGCAGAUCAGCAACGCUGCGGUGAAUACGUUCCCGGGCCUUGUACACACCGCCCGUCACGUCAUGAAAGUCGGUAACACCCGAAGCCGGUGGCCUAACCCUUUGUGGGAGGGAGCCGUCGAAGGUGGGAUCGGCGAUUGGGACGAAGUCGUAACAAGGUAGCCGUACCGGAAGGUGCGGCUGGAUCACCUCCUUU